RNAcentral lists this ribosomal RNA (507 nucleotides) under uncultured bacterium. Its description in RNAcentral is "partial 16S ribosomal RNA". It matches the Rfam family "Bacterial small subunit ribosomal RNA", at positions 28 to 507 of the family's 1533-position model. The record is from RNAcentral.
GACGAACGCUGGCGGCGUGCCUAAUACAUGCAAGUCGAACGCAUUUUCUUUCACCGUAGCUUGCUACACCGAAAGAAAAUGAGUGGCGAACGGGUGAGUAACACGUGGGUAACCUGCCCAUCAGCGGGGGAUAACACUUGGAAACAGGUGCUAAUACCGCAUAAUUCCAUUUACCGCAUGGUAGAUGGAUGAAAGGCGCUCUUGCGUCACUGAUGGAUGGACCCGCGGUGCAUUAGCUAGUUGGUGGGGUAACGGCCUACCAAGGCUGCGAUGCAUAGCCGACCUGAGAGGGUGAUCGGCCACACUGGGACUGAGACACGGCCCAGACUCCUACGGGAGGCAGCAGUAGGGAAUCUUCGGCAAUGGACACAAGUCUGACCGAGCAACGCCGCGUGAGUGAAGAAGGUUUUCGGAUCGUAAAACUCUGUUGUUAGAGAAGAACAAGGAUGAGAGUGGAAAGUUCAUCCCUUGACGGUAUCUAACCAGAAAGCCACGGCUAACUACGUG